RNAcentral lists this ribosomal RNA (716 nucleotides) under Bacillus sp. (in: firmicutes). RNAcentral describes it as "bacterial SSU rRNA". It matches the Rfam family "Bacterial small subunit ribosomal RNA", at positions 65 to 763 of the family's 1533-position model. Lineage: Bacteria; Bacillati; Bacillota; Bacilli; Caryophanales; Bacillaceae. The record is from RNAcentral.
AGCGGACUUGUAGGAGCUUGCUCCUGCAGGUUAGCGGCGGACGGGUGAGUAACACGUGGGCAACCUACCUGUAAGACUGGGAUAACUUCGGGAAACCGGAGCUAAUACCGGAUGACAUAAAGGAACUCCUGUUCCUUUAUUGAAAGAUGGCUUCGGCUAUCACUUACAGAUGGGCCCGCGGCGCAUUAGCUAGUUGGUGAGGUAACGGCUCACCAAGGCGACGAUGCGUAGCCGACCUGAGAGGGUGAUCGGCCACACUGGGACUGAGACACGGCCCAGACUCCUACGGGAGGCAGCAGUAGGGAAUCUUCCGCAAUGGACGAAAGUCUGACGGAGCAACGCCGCGUGAACGAUGAAGGCCUUCGGGUCGUAAAGUUCUGUUGUUAGGGAAGAACAAGUGCUAGUUAAAUAAGCUGGCACCUUGACGGUACCUAACCAGAAAGCCACGGCUAACUACGUGCCAGCAGCCGCGGUAAUACGUAGGUGGCAAGCGUUGUCCGGAAUUAUUGGGCGUAAAGCGCGCGCAGGCGGUUUCUUAAGUCUGAUGUGAAAGCCCCCGGCUCAACCGGGGAGGGUCAUUGGAAACUGGGAAACUUGAGUGCAGAAGAGGAAAGUGGAAUUCCAAGUGUAGCGGUGAAAUGCGUAGAGAUUUGGAGGAACACCAGUGGCGAAGGCGACUUUCUGGUCUGUAACUGACGCUGAGGCGCGAAAGCGUG